RNAcentral lists this ribosomal RNA (254 nucleotides) under uncultured bacterium. RNAcentral describes it as "partial 16S ribosomal RNA". It matches the Rfam family "Bacterial small subunit ribosomal RNA", at positions 524 to 777 of the family's 1533-position model. The record is from RNAcentral.
UACGAAGGGGGCUAGCGUUGCUCGGAAUCACUGGGCGUAAAGGUGCGUAGGCGGGUCUUUUAAGUCAGGGGUGAAAUCCUGGAGCUCAACUCCAGAACUGCCUUUGAUACUGAAGAUCUUGAGUUCGGGAGAGGUGAGUGGAACUGCGAGUGUAGAGGUGAAAUUCGUAGAUAUUCGCAAGAACACCAGUGGCGAAGGCGGCUCACUGGCCCGAUACUGACGCUGAGGCACGAAAGCGUGGGGAGCAAACAGGG